AGUUGCAACUCAGUUCGCUAUUCACGAGCUAGUUCGUAUUCGACUCAAAAUGAGCUCGAAAUCGGUCGAGCUUGUGUUCGGCUCAAUGUAGCUUGUGUGUGUGUAUAUACAUUAUAAAUCUCUACUAUUUGGAUUUUUUGCUAACUCAAAUACAAAGAGGCUUAUAUUCUGUGAAUUUUAAUUAUUUGAUUAAGAAUUAAAAAAAAAAACUUUUCAUCAGUAGUAGGGCUGACAAUUUAAUUUGCUGUUCGUAAGCUAGCUCAUGUUGGACUCAUUAAUAAAUAAGCUGAACACGAGUUAAAUUUUUCAACUUAAUAUUUCAACGAAUCAACUUAUAUUCAACUUGUUUAAUAAACGAGCGUGUACUAGCCGCCCCAGCGUGCUCGUGUUUGGCAUGUUGGCACUCCUAUAUAUAU
Molecule: long non-coding RNA, 416 nt
Filed under: Ananas comosus (pineapple)
Lineage: Eukaryota; Viridiplantae; Streptophyta; Magnoliopsida; Poales; Bromeliaceae
Description: long non-coding RNA (ACOM_LNC034856)
Source: RNAcentral